AUGCAAAAAGAAAGGAGCAUAACGUCUAAUGGAAAAAUCCAGAAAUUGAUUAUCACAGAAAAGAUAGCUAAGGUAUGCCCUUUUACAGUAGCAGCAGUUUCCAAAAUCUAAGAUUUACUAAAGAUCAAUAUGACAGCUUCAUUGAAUGUCAGGAGAAAUUACAUCAGGAUAUUUACAGGAAGAGAGCAUUAGUUGCUAUUGGAACCCAUGAUUUGGACACUUGGUUACCCAUUAACUUUUACUGUGCAAAGUGUCCUUUAGAUAUCAGGUUCAAGCCCUAAAUAAGGCUAAGGAGUAUACAGUCUAUGAGCCAAUGAACAUGUUACAAGACUGACAACCACCUUAAACACUAUUAACAUGUCAUUGAAAAAAAACCCCUGUACCUAGUUAUCUAUGAUAGCAAGGGUGUCAUCCUUUCAAUGCCUUCCAUAACUAAUGAGGAUCACUCCAAAAUGACACUAAAUACUAGAAAGUUAUUUAUCAAAUGCACAGGAACUGACUUUACUAAGGCAAAAAAGAAUUCUUUAUAUUAUCUUGUCACCAAUUUCCAUGAAUAUAUCGAGAACCAAAUUAUGAUUGAAGCAACUGAGGUACUUUUCCUAAUGAAAAAUCAUAUACUUUUCCAGAACUAGCUUGCCAAAAGGAGACAGUGAGGCUAGAUCUGAUCUUGUUACCAAAAAGAAAAAAAAAAAAUGGAAUCAAAGAAACGCCAGAAAAUCUUGCCUAGCUUCUGACCAGAAUGUAUUUGAAGUCCAAAGUCAUAGGCAAUGGGAAUCAUAUUGAGAAUAAAACCCCUCUGACCACAGCUGACAUUAUCCAUGCAUGUGAUAUUGUAGAAGAUGCAGCAAUUGCUUAUGAAUAUAACAAUAUGAAUAUGACUUUCCCAUAAAUACCACAGGUAAUCAAUUUCCUCUUAAUAAGCUCAAAAAACUUCUCAGACAUGACAUGGUAGCUGAAUCCACUUCACUAAAGCACUCGCCUUUGCUCUCUGCUCCAGGAGGAUAUUUCUGAUAAACUUUGUUUGGAUAUCUCUGCAACAAAAGCAGUCCAUAUAUGUAAAACUAAAACAGCUCAAUUACAGGUGGCAUGCAUUAUCCUUCAUCUUGGUGUUCUGAAGACCACAGAAACAAAUCAGAUGCUCCUUCCUCUGAAACUAUUUGAAAUCUCUAAUAGUGUAAUAAAAGAUUCUAACAGAGAUGUAGGCACACAAAACUACAGGCAUCUCUUGCUGUUUAUUACAACAAGAAUCCUGGGUUUAAGGUCAUCCAUAUGCAUCUGGACAGAAUUACGCAGCUGCUCAAUGUACCUCCUGUUGAACAUUUGAAGAUAAAGGGGGAUGUGUGAUCAAAUUAUGAAAAGGGACUGCUUUCUUCCCUGGGCGAUGUUCAGAGAUCUUUGCCAGGAGUCAAAGCAUCAGGAAGCUUGGGGUCUUUCAUCCUGAUGUUAUCACCAAAUUUGAGCUGACCAUGCCCUGUUCCUCCCUGGAAAUCAAUAUUGAGCCCUUUUUGUGAAGAUGGGUCUUGUUGUGUGAUUCUCUUCCCAAGUAUCACUUUCUCCUUCCCUGAUGUCCUUUAGUCCUCCUCCACAGGAAACAUUCAUUUGUGCUUUAAUGUUUAGUAAAGUAGAAAGCACUGUCAAAAA
Molecule: RNA transcript, 1641 nt
Organism: Sapajus apella (tufted capuchin)
Lineage: Eukaryota; Metazoa; Chordata; Mammalia; Primates; Cebidae
Gene name: phenylalanine--tRNA ligase beta subunit pseudogene
Exons: 3
Source: RefSeq, a predicted model, not a curated record